GGCAAUAUGUGGCGGAUCUGUCCUGGAACAGCUCGCCUUAGGGUAGUCAGCACGGCACCUUGCAUUGGGGGCCUGAGAAAGGGCGCACACUCUGACCUACCAACUCUACUUUGGGGGUCGCCCUAAAGGAAGAAUCCUAAACACAGAAAAAUCAUUUUGCACAAAGAUGUCAUCACAAGAAAUCUCAGCGGUUGUAAAGCAUGGCAGAUAGAACCAAAUCACCAACCGCGGAAGGUCGGUAACAAAUGUCGGUGUGCUGCUGCCCGAUGAGGUGCUCGGCCACCACCCGUGGCGGCGUCUUGUGCAGUUUGUAAGAGCCUGGAGAAUGUUCACACUCUAGUGUUAAGUGGAGAGAACGGGACAGAAGUUUACAAACAGCUCAGGAGAAAAACGAGAAGAAAGAAGCUGCACCAAUGGGUGUCACUGAGCGGCGGAAGGAUGCCACGCCAUUUUUCUUGGAGCCCAUUUCCUAGCCACCGAAAUGCUUCUGCAGUGAGCAAUCACUUUGUCGUUGAAAAAUACUGUAUUUUUUAAAAAAUUAAAUGCAGUGGUUUUGCUGUUGCCAAAGAGAAAGAAGGAGGAGCGUUCCCCCAUCCCCCCCAGUCGGUGGGUCAUGCGUCAAUCGCAGAGCUGUAUUUGACCUUGGAGGGGCUCCACCCCGGCCACACCCGCCCCACGACCUGCUUCCUCCUACCUUCCCUGAAGUCAAACACAGGAGUGGGGUUGGUGCGAGCUGCCUGUUAUCUCUUAGAUUCCAGCAACCCCACGACUGAGGCCGCCCGUUCCCACCCAGUGAGUCCUCGUCCCACCCAGACGCCCAUUCGGGACAUGCCGGUGAGAUGCAGCCUUGCCCCUGAAGGGAGCAGGAUGCCCCUGGGUCCAGCAAUGGAGUGACAGAUGGAGAAGUGGAGACCUAAUUCCUCACUUCCAAGCCAUCCCUGCCGACCCCCUGACUCUGCCAACCUACGGUUACCUAAGUCUCCAACACUCAGCAGGACGCCCCCUCGGCUGAACGAAGAAGCCCUGGUCCUCCCAGCAGGCAUGAGGAGGCUCCACCUGGCCUGGACCGAUGGUGAGCCGUCCUGCUGAGGAAAGGACAAGAUUCCAUACCCGUGUAAAUUACCCAGAAGUCGCGCUUCCUGGGAGUGAGAACGCGCCCGGAAGUGGUUGAACCGCACCCUCAGCCCUGCCGCCCCUCCCCCGGGGCAUGACUGCACCCCACCCCAACUCACACAGGACCCCCUGGGGAGCUCCUGCCGGGGCCUUCAGGAAGCCAGGGCCGCAGAUGCGUUCUCACGAUUCCCAGCCGCAGGCCGACGCUCGCCGUGGGGCCCUGAUGCCUGCCUGCGGUCUCGCCCACUUCCUGUGGCUGGCUGUGACUCGGGUGGGCACCCCCAGGGCUUUCAGGCAGUGAGUGUGACGUGUUACUACUGGGCCGGGAAGCAUUCGUGUAUACGAAGUCUGACGCUCUGACUCGGGCACCUCCUGCCCAGCGACCCUGCCUGCAGGUGACCGCCUUGGUGGGGACGGGUGACAGAGAGAAGAGCGCACCGCGCAGGUGCCGGCGCCACGUCCGUUCACCAGCUCUCCCUGGGCACAGAGGGGUCUGCGAGGGCCCCCCCCACCCCCGGGCUGGUGGCGAGGGCGGCAGCAAACCCAGCUCUCCCUGCAGGCCCCCUGCAGCCCCCACCUCUCCCGGAAAGGAGGGAGGGCGGGGCUUCUAGUUGGCACCCAAGCUGAAGAGGAAAGAACAGAGGGGGAAAGUCAAAAAUCACUUUUAGAGAAAAUGUGUCUUCAGAGUCCCUCUCCCCGGCUCUGAACCUGUGACACCGAUUCCUAGUGGAUGGAUUGUCAGGGCCAUGGCUACUGUUUUCUUUUCAUCUUUAAAGAAAACUCCUCCAUUUUGCGGUUUCUCACCCCCUAGGGAUGUCACUCGGACCACUUUGCUGUGAAUGAGACUUGGAGUCGUAUUUUAUCACGUGACUAUGGCCACUCCAGGGCAGACCGGAAAGCAGGGUGGCAACGGUGAUGUCAUGAUUUUCACUCACAGAGUCGUUUUUUGUACUUGUAAGGGGACAAAUGCAGAGACUUCCUAGAACCAAUCACGGUGUUAAAUUGUAAACACCCCCUCCCAAACCAAGUGUGUGCUGGCUCACGAAACAACAGAAUUUGGACCCAAGUCCAUUUAAGUGGCGUGUUUCUCCUGUUGUCACCAUUCAUCCACCCGUGUUCACGCGCAGUUCCGGCCCCCCACCCCCCGGGUCAGGCACUGGCAUCACAGGUGACGGAGGACGAGCACGGCCCCACCUUGGGGAGCUCCCGGCUCAGACAGACAGACACAGAAAUAAAUGAGCACAACGGAAGGGCCACCACGUGUGUACACACACACACACGCAUGCACACGCACACACACAUGUGCACGCACGCACAUGCACACACACACAGACCACAUCCUAGAGGAGCCUGAAGAACAGCUUCUUUCUAUGGGUCCACAGAUUUGCAGGAAAAUCCAGGUUGUUUGGGCAACACGGAAGAGGUGCGUGAACCUGAAUGUGGCGCGCCUGCAGAGGUCGCCCGGGGGCAGGUGCACGGCGGGGGGGGGGGGGGGGUGGCUGGGUGUGCUGGGUGUGGCCGGCCCCCCUGCAGACACAGAGAGCAUGUGUCCCAAGUCACCCGGACAGCAGCAGCUUGGGGAGGUUUCUUUCCCACGCCGUGGGGAGAAGGUGGCCCAACAGGUAAACGUGUCUAAAUCAACGGAUUUGGAGCCAGUGCUGUUCAGUGCCACAUAGUAGGGACUUCGCUCUUCUCGGUCCUCCCUCUAUUUCCACAUGACAGCCAUGUCCCUGAGCGUCCCUGAGCCUCCCCGAGGCUGGAGGCCAGGUCAUCAGGGCUUUGCAUCCCGCCCUGUUUGAAGGGACAAGGUUCCAGCCCACGAACCCCCCGGCCCCGGGCUGCUGUGCUGGGUGGGAGUCCUCGCCAGCCUUUGGACACAGCCAGCAGGACGAUGGGCCUGCGCCUGGCCCCCCUUGGGUGGGUGCCUGUGACAGGCGACAGGUCUGCACACCCAGACCUCCGAGG
Molecule: long non-coding RNA, 3078 nt
Organism: Phyllostomus hastatus (greater spear-nosed bat)
Lineage: Eukaryota; Metazoa; Chordata; Mammalia; Chiroptera; Phyllostomidae
Exons: 4
Source: RefSeq, a predicted model, not a curated record